Molecule: ribosomal RNA, 468 nt
Filed under: uncultured bacterium
Lineage: Bacteria
Description: partial 16S ribosomal RNA
Rfam family: Bacterial small subunit ribosomal RNA
Source: RNAcentral
GACGAACGCUGGCGGCGUGCUUAACACAUGCAAGUCGAACGGAAAGGCCCUGCUUUUGUGGGGUUCUCGAGUGGCGAACGGGUGAGUAACACGUGAGUAACCUGCCCUUGACUUUGGGAUAACUUCAGGAAACUGGGGCUAAUACCGGAUAGGAGCUCCUGCUGCAUGGUGGGGGUUGGAAAGUUUCGGCGGUUGGGGAUGGACUCGCGGCUUAUCCGCUUGUUUGGGGAGUAGUGGCUUACCAAGGCUUUGACGGGUAGCCGGCCUGAGAGGGUGACCGGCCUCAUUGGGACUGAGAUACGGCCCAGACGGCUACGGGAGGCAGCAGGGGGGAAUAUUGCACAAUGGGCGGAAGCCUGAUGCAGCAACGCCGCGUGCGGGAUGACGGCCUUCGGGUGAUAAACCGCUUUCGCCGGUGACGAAGCGUGAGUGACGGUAAUGGGUAAAGAAGCACCGGCUAACUACGUG